CCUACGGGGGGCUGCAGUGAGGAAUAUUGGUCAAUGGACGAGAGUCUGAACCAGCCACGUAGCGUGAAGGAUGACUGCCCUAUGGGUUGUAAACUUCUUUUAUAUGGGAAUAAAAUGUUCCACGUGUGGGAUUUUGUAUGUACCAUAUGAAUAAGGAUCGGCUAACUCCGGGCCAGCAGCCGCGGUAAUACGGAGGAUCCGAGCGUUAUCCGGAUUUAUUGGGUUUAAAGGGUGCGUAGGUGGAUUGUUAAGUCAGUUGUGAAAGUUUGCGGCUCAACCGUAAAAUUGCAGUUGAAACUGGCAGUCUGGAGUACAGUAGAGGUGGGCGGAAUUCGUGGUGUAGCGGUGAAAUGCUUAGAUAUCACGAAGAACUCCGAUUGCGAAGGCAGCUCACUGGACUGCAACUGACACUGAGGCUCGAAAGUGUGGGUAUCAAACAGGAUUAGAUACCCUGGUAGUC
RNAcentral lists this ribosomal RNA (460 nucleotides) under uncultured bacterium. Its description in RNAcentral is "partial 16S ribosomal RNA". It matches the Rfam family "Bacterial small subunit ribosomal RNA", at positions 338 to 795 of the family's 1533-position model. The record is from RNAcentral.